This is a long non-coding RNA of Canis lupus familiaris (dog), 1135 nucleotides long. RefSeq lists it as uncharacterized. The record is from RefSeq and is a predicted model, not a curated record. NCBI's taxonomy places the organism in Eukaryota, Metazoa, Chordata, Mammalia, Carnivora, Canidae. The transcript has 3 exons.
GCAUUCUGAAUCGGCAUUCUGAAAGGGAAACUUUCAGGAAGGAAACACCCCAGGGCACAUGCUUUCGGCCAAGUGAAGACACAGGUGGUGCCCAGUGCAGGCCUGGAACACAGCGACGGCUCAUAAACAUCUGUUUAUGGGAACAAAGAACACAAACAUCUUCCCCCUCACUAUAUGCUGGCUUGUCAGGUACACCCAGCUGUCCAGGAAGCUCUGGAAACUCACAGCAAUUCUACUCCUGAGAAACGAGGGCUUAGGUCCACCGGAGGGCAUGUACAUGAACACUCACAGAAGCUUCAUUCACAAUAGUCCCAAACAGGAAGCAAGCCGCAUGUUCAUCCACAGUGGAAUGGAAUAACUGUGCCAUAUUCAGACCAUGGAAUAUCACAAAGCAACGAAAAGGAAUGAAGUCUGGCUAACCAGAACAACAUGGGUGAACAUCACAGACAAUGAUAAGCAGGCGUACUUAUUUGUGGAACUGUGUUCAUAUGAGCUUGAAGAACAGGUCGAACCAAUUUAGGGUGGAAGAAGACAGGAGAGAGACUGCCGAUGGAAGGUAGUGAGUACUGGUUCAGAAGGCGCACAGUGAGGCUUCUGGAUGAUGGAAAUGUUCUAUAAAUAUAUCACCCAGUGGUGAUUAUAUGGUUACAAAUUUAUUUAAAAAUUCAUCAAGCUGUAGGCCUAGGAUUUGUGUACUAUAUGCAUGUUACACUUCCAUGAAAGGAAGGAAGGCGAGAAGGAAGUGGAGGGAGGUCUCCUUUUCCCUCUCCCUUUAUUCUUUCCUUCCAGAAGAGGAAGCAGGGAAGGCAGAGGAGGAGACACAUGAAACCAAGGCAGGUAUCCAAGGGGCAGGAAGGGUCCCGGGAGUGGGUACCAGGAAGGGAACCUGCCUUGAUUCCAGGGCAUUGUGGAUAUGAAUGCAGACUCAGGACCAGACAGACCUGGGCAUGAAUCCAAGCACCUCCAUCUGAUAGAUAUGAAGCCUUGGGCAAUUCAACCUUUCUGCGCUUACAUUUCUUCACCUGCAAAUGGGGCCUAUUAGCAGUUAUCUGCCUGGAGGAGCUGUGUUAGCAGAAAGCGACAUAGCUGUGUGGGUUAGUAUUCGUAAGGCCCUUGGAACAAAGCCUGGCACAGG